Long non-coding RNA from Leopardus geoffroyi (Geoffroy's cat), 173 nucleotides. RefSeq lists it as uncharacterized. Lineage: Eukaryota; Metazoa; Chordata; Mammalia; Carnivora; Felidae. The transcript is spliced from 2 exons. The record is from RefSeq and is a predicted model, not a curated record.
AUGUUCUUUCUCUCUGUCAAAAAUAAAAAAUGUAAAUGAAAAUUUUAAAUGUAGUUCAUAAACAACUUUUUUUCCCUUUCUGGAACUGCUUCUUCCACCAAAAAAGGUAGGUGCUACCAUUCCAGAGGCUCCCCCUGCACUGGACUUCGAGUAUUCAGCUCCAGACUUGUGGC